This 433-nucleotide ribosomal RNA is filed under the name uncultured bacterium. RNAcentral's name for it is "partial 16S ribosomal RNA". It matches the Rfam family "Bacterial small subunit ribosomal RNA", at positions 29 to 507 of the family's 1533-position model. The record is from RNAcentral.
AACGAACGCUGGCGGCAUGCCUAACACAUGCAAGUCGAACGAGACCUUCGGGUCUAGUGGCGCACGGGUGCGUAACGCGUGGGAACCUGCCCUUAGGUUCGGAAUAACUCCCCGAAAGGGGUGCUAAUACCGGAUAAUGUCUUCGGACCAAAGAUUUAUCGCCUUUGGAUGGGCCCGCGUUGGAUUAGCUAGUUGGUAGGGUAAAAGCAUACCAAGGCGACGAUGCAUAGCUGGUCUGAGAGGAUGAUCAGCCACACUGGGACUGAGACACGGCCCAGACUCCUACGGGAGGCAGCAGUGGGGAAUAUUGGACAAUGGGCGAAAGCCUGAUCCAGCAAUGCCGCGUGAGUGAUGAAGGCCUUAGGGUUGUAAAGCUCUUUUACCCGGGAUGAUAAUGACAGUACCGGGAGAAUAAGCACCGGCUAACUACGUG